AGCUGCCACAUGUGGAAAUAUUGUGGUGAAUGUCCUGGCAUGAGACUUUUUCAGCAAGCAGACUUUGGGGGAAGAAAUAGAACUUCAUUUGCGAAUAUAAAUAUCUUACAAACUCGCCUCCGAGAGGUCUUAGUUCCCAAGGGAUGAUUGCUUCCACCAGGAGACACAGCAGGGGUUCUAUUAAAUGGGAAGUCGAGGCCGCCAACUGGCCACUUUGCGCUCUUCAUCACAGCAACUCAACAGGCAAAGAAGAGUUUCUGUACUGGCGGGGCUGA
Lontra canadensis (Northern American river otter) is the source of this 275-nucleotide long non-coding RNA. RefSeq lists it as uncharacterized. Lineage: Eukaryota; Metazoa; Chordata; Mammalia; Carnivora; Mustelidae. The record is from RefSeq and is a predicted model, not a curated record. The transcript has 3 exons.